Podarcis lilfordi (Lilford's wall lizard) is the source of this 848-nucleotide non-coding RNA. The record is from the annotation of a GenBank genome assembly. Lineage: Eukaryota; Metazoa; Chordata; Lepidosauria; Squamata; Lacertidae.
UUGCACCACCUGUGGAACUACAGCUGCUGCGUCGAUUCCACGGAACUGACACUUCUGAAAAUGCAGCAGAUUAGGGGAGAAAGUGAGAGAUCUUCCUUUAAAAGAGGAGCCCUAGGUGAAAAUACCUUCUGGUAUUCUGAAAAGGAGAAGAUAGAGAUACUAAAAUGGAAUAAAAGAAAGAGGAACAGAAAGCAAAAGACGAUGAGCCACAAAGAAAGAGGAAUGAUGGUAAGAAAAGUGGGAAGGAAAAGACAGGUGGUGGGUUUUGUUAAGUGUGUGCACGCAAAGUAACUCGUUUGCAACCGCAACUGCUAUUUUGCACAUGAGCAAAGUCAUAUAGCUCAACAGAAUUUGAAACAACGGGUCCUAGUCUAAUGCUACGUGCCUCAUCCUAAAGAGGCCUACAUUCAGGGAUAAGUCAAAUACUUAGUAUGACAAGAGCAUGCAGAGGAUAUAGAAUGGGGGGAAAGCUGGAGAUGAACAUCACAAAAAACCCCUCCCCCAAAAAACUGUGCUGUGAAUUUUGGUGGGAAAUAAGUCUCUGGAUGUCAAUGUUCAACAUUCAGUGUCAAUGUCCAACAUUCAAAUGUGCUAUAAAACCUGCUGUAUUUCACCAGAGACAUUAAUGAAGCUUUGCUGGGGAAAGAUGAAUAUUGGAGAUGGAAGUACAGUAGAAUCAAAGAAGAACGCAUUAGAUGAGAGGAAGGAAAUCAUGUGAGAAGCAGAUCUUUAUCUAAAAAGGACAAAGCUAAAUGCACCAACAUCAAUCUGCUCAGCAAUUUGUAAGAAAACUGAGAACUGGGAAUGUAUUUUGCAUUCCACCUGUAUUUAUGAAGCCAAUUCUAGGA